UGACUAAGAGGGCUAAGAGUCAAUAUAAUAAAAGUGUAUUAUUUCUAAAGGCUUGUGAACAGUCGUGCAUAGCUCGAAAGCAGAUGAGCGAUUGUAACUGCUUGGAGUAUAGAUAUCCAGGUGACAAGGGAUAUGAUUACUGCGAUACUCUGAAUAAAACAGUAGUGGCGUGCCUUAGAAAAGUAGCAAAGAAAGCAAGAAACAAUCAGCUUGACUGCUCUGCAUGUCAGCCUCUUUGUUCUGACCAAGUUUUUCAAGURACAUCUUCCUUUUCGUCAUGGCCGGCUUUCAAAUAUGAGAAAUUCUUAACG
This is a long non-coding RNA of Exaiptasia diaphana, 311 nucleotides long. RefSeq lists it as uncharacterized. The record is from RefSeq and is a predicted model, not a curated record. The transcript has 4 exons. NCBI's taxonomy places the organism in Eukaryota, Metazoa, Cnidaria, Anthozoa, Actiniaria, Aiptasiidae.